This 1244-nucleotide ribosomal RNA is filed under the name metagenome. RNAcentral describes it as "bacterial SSU rRNA". It matches the Rfam family "Bacterial small subunit ribosomal RNA", at positions 243 to 1520 of the family's 1533-position model. The record is from RNAcentral.
AGCUUGUUGGUGAGGUAAAGGCUCACCAAGGCGACGACGGAUAGGGGGCCUGAGAGGGUGACCCCCCACACUGGAACUGACAAACGGUCCAGACUCCUACGGGAGGCAGCAGUAAGGGAUAUUGCGCAAUGGGCGAAAGCCUGACGCAGCAACGCCGCGUGCGGGAAGAAGGUCUUCGGAUCGUAAACCGCUUUUCUGAGGGACGAGCAAGGACGGUACCUCAGGAAGAAGUCUCGGCUAACUACGUGCCAGCAGCCGCGGUAAAACGUAGGAGGCAAGCGUUAUCCGGAUUUACUGGGCGUAAAGCGCGUGCAGGUGGUUUCUUAAGUCGUGCGUGAAAGCCCCGCGCUCAACGCGGGGAGGCCGUGCGAGACUGAGAAACUGGAGCCAGACAGAGGCAAGUGGAAUUCCGGGUGUAGUGGUGAAAUGCGUAGAGAUCCGGAGGAACACCAGUGGCGAAGGCGGCUUGCUGGGUCUAGGCUGACACUCAGACGCGAAAGCAUGGGGAGCGAACGGGAUUAGAAACCCCGGUAGUCCAUGCUAUAAACGAUGCCGACUAGGCGUCAGGAGCGUUAGCUCUUGGUGCCGCAGCAAACGCGAUAAGUCGGCCGCCUGGGGACUACGAGCGCAAGCUUAAAACUCAAAGGAAUUGACGGGGGCCCGCACAAGCAGCGGAGCGUGUGGUUUAAUUCGAGGCUACACGAAGAACCUUACCUGGGUUGGACAUGGAUGCGAACGAAGCCGAAAGGUGGAGGGUCGCAAGACGCAUUCACAGGUGCUGCAUGGCUGUCGUCAGCUCGUGUCGUGAGAUGUUCGGUUAAGUCCGGUAACGAGCGCAACCCCUGGGUUUAGUUACAAGUGUCUAAACCAACUGCCCGGUUCAACUGGGAGGAAGGUGGGGAUGACGUCAAGUCAGCAUGGCCUUUAUAUCCAGGGCUACACACACGCUACAAUGACCGGGACAAUGGGUCGCCAAGCCGCGAGGCGGAGCCAAUCCACCAAAACCGGUCUCAGUUCGGAUUGCAGGCUGCAACCCGCCUGCAUGAAGUCGGAGUUGCUAGUAAACGCAGGUCAGCCAUACUGCGUUGAAUACGUUCCCGGGCCUUGUACACACCGCCCGUCACGUCAUGGGAGCUGGUCGCGCCUGAAGUCGGUAGGCUAACCGCAAGGAGGCAGCCGCCGAAGGCGGGGCUGGUGACUGGGACGAAGUCGUAACAAGGUAGCUGUAGCGGAAGCUGCGGCUG